GAAAAGAGUAUCCUCCUGAGAUAGUGAUGCUGUUCCCGUCUCUUAAGGAUCCAUAUACCAAGGAAGGCUAUGAACACUUCUAUGAUGCUGCAAGCAGCAGAGGAUACAUUUCGUGGCAUCUAUAAACAGUCCAGAGGAGGAUCAGCAUCCCCAUCUUGCUAUGACUGUCAUGCUGCAGUCUGGAUGAGCAUCUCCACAAGUAGCAUCACAAGGGCAAGACAGACAACUUUUACUUUUGGAUAAGUAUCUCAUCCAAAGCCAGGCAAAGCUCAUACAAUGAUUCAGGAUUUCACAUGUCCCAAGAAAAGCUGAAAACAUCAUACAAAAGCAUGAAAUAGCGU
Molecule: long non-coding RNA, 341 nt
Organism: Plectropomus leopardus (leopard coralgrouper)
Lineage: Eukaryota; Metazoa; Chordata; Actinopteri; Perciformes; Serranidae
Source: RefSeq, a predicted model, not a curated record